This 253-nucleotide ribosomal RNA is filed under the name uncultured bacterium. RNAcentral's name for it is "partial 16S ribosomal RNA". It matches the Rfam family "Bacterial small subunit ribosomal RNA", at positions 524 to 776 of the family's 1533-position model. The record is from RNAcentral.
UACGAAGGGUGCUAGCGUUGUUCCGAAUUACUGGGCGUAAAGCGCGCGUAGGCGGCUUCGCAAGUCAGAGGUGAAAUCCCUGGGCUCAACCCAGGAAUUGCCUUUGAAACUGCGAAGCUAGAGUGUCGGAGGGGAUAGCGGAAUUGCUAAUGUAGAGGUGAAAUUCGUAGAUAUUAGCAGGAACACCGGUGGCGAAGGCGGCUAUCUGGACGACAACUGACGCUGAGGCGCGAAAGCACGGGGAUCAAACAGG